AUGGCUUUCUAUUACCGUUAAAGAUGAUGCACAAAGAUGACAAUUUCUACUUCAGUCAGCUUUAUUUUGCAGCACAGAAUACACAAAGUGAACUGUUAUGAAAUCAACAGCACUUGGAGAAAGCUUAUUAUUUCAAUGAAGAACAUGAGUAAGGCCAUAAAACCUUUCUGCAAGUUUGAAUGCUUCAUGCUUUCCUUCAGUCAGGUGUGAUAAGUGCAAAUGUAUACUGGGGAUUAUUGAUUCUUUUAAUGCAGAUACAUAUCAGUGAAGAAUAUAGGGAUUUCUUACAUCAUGCAAAGCAUCACUGGUUAUUGCCUUCAUAAUAGUACAUGGAAACAACGAAAAACAUUUCUUGUAACGAAGGAAGAUGUAGUCGGUAAAGGUCUCAGUUUUCAGCUCUCCGGUGGGUCAUCUGGUUUUCUUCUGAUCACUGAGACACAUACAGAAAAAAACGUAUUUAACAUUUGACUGGUUGUAAUAGAUCAGUUACUAUAGCAGUUUUCCUGAGUGCAUAGAUGAGUUCUUUUUUGCUCACUUUUUUUUGUUUUGUGUAUCGAAAAAAACAUUUCAGGUUUUCUUCAGAACGGCCCGGGGAGGCAUUGAUGUUGUUUUACCAUUCUGUAAAACCAGAGAGAGAAACAGAGUGUGAUUACAACACAGCCUGCUUCCACAGGCUGCACGUGUUAGACAUGAAAGCAGCGCUGCCUGAGUGAGAUGUUCUUUUGGCAACAUCUAAACUUCUAAAUCAGUUUUUUUUUUUUUUUAAUCUGUAGCAUGCACACAAACAUACAAUGCACAGUGCCUCCCAUUAGACACCUCAUUUCACUUGUUUAUGCUACUUGCAGACAUCUGUGGUAAGUUUACCUUAUUACCAGGAAUAUUAGGGUUGGCCUGUGGCAAAACAACAACAAAUAAUUAAUUUGUGUCAUUUAUAUGCAAGACAAUCUCUUUAAUGGUGAGUUUAUUAUUAGAUCCAUUAAUUUUACCGUGAAUGAAAAAAUAAAGAAAUCUGGUCUUACUUGGCCAAGGAGGGAACAUCCACCAGGCCUCGAGGAACAGGACUGUCGUUUGACUCUUUCUCUUCCCUUUCGUCUGUCAUCCCUGGUUAUUCCCUUCACCAACAAGAGAAUGCUUUAUUCACUAUUGGUCUUAGAAAAUUUAGGAAAAAAUAAUAAAUAAA
This is a long non-coding RNA of Astatotilapia calliptera (eastern happy), 1180 nucleotides long. The record is from Ensembl. Lineage: Eukaryota; Metazoa; Chordata; Actinopteri; Cichliformes; Cichlidae.